This 75-nucleotide transfer RNA is filed under the name Schistocerca americana (American grasshopper). Its description in RNAcentral is "tRNA-Pro". It matches the Rfam family "tRNA". From Rfam's summary of the family: Transfer RNA (tRNA) molecules are approximately 80 nucleotides in length. Their secondary structure includes four short double-helical elements and three loops (D, anti-codon, and T loops). The record is from RNAcentral. Lineage: Eukaryota; Metazoa; Arthropoda; Insecta; Orthoptera; Acrididae. RNAcentral also lists the same sequence under 2 other names.
GGUUGGGUAGCUCAGUUGGUAGAGCACUUGCCCGCGGAAGGCAAAGGUCCCGAGUUCGAGUCUCGGUCCGGCACA